GGCUGCCUGCAGAGUCGGGGUAGAAGAAUGCAAAAGGGCCGUCUGCAUGCUGGAGAGCCAGAGGAUCCAGUCAAAAGAAGCCCAGGGCUCCCUGCGGAGUGCCCUGCCAAGUUUGUAUUGAGAAGCCAAAAGCUGCUGCUGGAGGGCUGCACUCUGGACUUGUACUCAGUGAUGAAGUAGCCUUGGCUCCUGCCGGAGGUGGUCACAGUCCAGCAGGGGAGAGAAGACAUAUGUGCCCUGAACUACAGAUGAUGGAGAAGGUGCUCCAGCAGGGAGGCUGGAACUCAGCUGAUGGACACGGUCAUUUCCUGCGGAGGUCAGGCUGCAUGUCUGUGGUUUUCCAGGUCGUCAGGAUAGAAUGGCAAUGUGCACGAAUGCUCUCUUUUGGUCCCCCUGAUGGGCACACAUGGGCAAGCCAACUGGUAGGAUGGCA
This is a long non-coding RNA of Heterocephalus glaber (naked mole-rat), 433 nucleotides long. The record is from Ensembl. NCBI's taxonomy places the organism in Eukaryota, Metazoa, Chordata, Mammalia, Rodentia, Bathyergidae.